RNAcentral lists this ribosomal RNA (407 nucleotides) under uncultured bacterium. RNAcentral describes it as "bacterial SSU rRNA". It matches the Rfam family "Bacterial small subunit ribosomal RNA", at positions 509 to 916 of the family's 1533-position model. The record is from RNAcentral.
CAGCAGCCGCGGUAAUUCGUAGGGUGCGAGCGUUAAUCGGAAUUACUGGGCGUAAAGCGUGCGCAGGCGGUGAGUUAAGUCUGCUGUGAAAGCCCCGGGCUCAACCUGGGAACGGCAGUGGAAACUGGCUCGCUGGAGUAUGGCAGAGGGGGGUGGAAUUCCGCGUGUAGCAGUGAAAUGCGUAGAGAUGCGGAGGAACACCGAUGGCGAAGGCAGCCCCCUGGGCCAAUACUGACGCUCAGGCACGAAAGCGUGGGGAGCAAACAGGAUUAGAUACCCUGGUAGUCCACGCCCUAAACGAUGUCAACUGGGUGUUGGGGAAGCGAUUCCUUGGUACCGUAGCUAACGCGUGAAGUUGACCGCCUGGGGAGUACGGCCGCAAGGUUAAAACUUAAAGGAAUUGACGG